GUGCCUAACACAUGCAAGUCGAACGAGAAAGUGGAGCAAUCCAUGAGUAAAGUGGCGACCGGGUGAGUAACACGUGACUAACCUACCUCCGAAUGGGGAAUAACUCCGGGAAACCGGGGCUAAUACCGCAUAACACCGCAAGGUCAAAGCAGUAAUGCGUUUGGAGAGGGGGUCGCGGCUGAUUAGCUAGUUGGCGGGGUAACGGCCCACCAAGGCGAAGAUCGGUAUCCGGCCUGAGGGGGCGCACGGACACACUGGAACUGAAACACGGUCCAG
RNAcentral lists this ribosomal RNA (276 nucleotides) under uncultured bacterium. RNAcentral describes it as "partial 16S ribosomal RNA". It matches the Rfam family "Bacterial small subunit ribosomal RNA", at positions 44 to 334 of the family's 1533-position model. The record is from RNAcentral.